GGGGGUAUAGCUCAGUGGUAGAGCAUUCAAAUGUCGUUCGGGACGUCCCCGGUUCCAACCCGGGUGUCCCCU
This is a non-coding RNA of Trichonephila inaurata madagascariensis, 72 nucleotides long. The record is from the annotation of a GenBank genome assembly. Lineage: Eukaryota; Metazoa; Arthropoda; Arachnida; Araneae; Nephilidae.